GCGGACGGGUGAGUAACACGUGGAUAACCUACCUAUAAGACUGGGAUAACUUCGGGAAACCGGAGCUAAUACCGGAUAAUAUUUUGAACCGCAUGGUUCAAAAGUGAAAGACGGUCUUGCUGUCACUUAUAGAUGGAUCCGCGCUGCAUUAGCUAGUUGGUAAGGUAACGGCUUACCAAGGCAACGAUGCAUAGCCGACCUGAGAGGGUGAUCGGCCACACUGGAACUGAGACACGGUCCAGACUCCUACGGGAGGCAGCAGUAGGGAAUCUUCCGCAAUGGGCGAAAGCCUGACGGAGCAACGCCGCGUGAGUGAUGAAGGUCUUCGGAUCGUAAAACUCUGUUAUUAGGGAAGAA
This 357-nucleotide ribosomal RNA is filed under the name Staphylococcus aureus. Its description in RNAcentral is "bacterial SSU rRNA". It matches the Rfam family "Bacterial small subunit ribosomal RNA", at positions 98 to 449 of the family's 1533-position model. The record is from RNAcentral. Lineage: Bacteria; Bacillati; Bacillota; Bacilli; Caryophanales; Staphylococcaceae.